This 21-nucleotide ribosomal RNA is filed under the name Platymiscium albertinae. Its description in RNAcentral is "partial 28S ribosomal RNA". The record is from RNAcentral. Lineage: Eukaryota; Viridiplantae; Streptophyta; Magnoliopsida; Fabales; Fabaceae.
GCGACCCUANGUCAGGCGGGG